This 230-nucleotide ribosomal RNA is filed under the name uncultured bacterium. RNAcentral describes it as "partial 16S ribosomal RNA". It matches the Rfam family "Bacterial small subunit ribosomal RNA", at positions 29 to 283 of the family's 1533-position model. The record is from RNAcentral.
AGCGAACGCUGGCGGCAUGCUUAACACAUGCAAGUCGCACGAAGGUUUCGGCCUUAGUGGCGGACGGGUGAGUAACGCGUAGGAAUCUAUCCAUGGGUGGGGGGAUAACACUGGGAAACUGGUGCUAAUACCGCAUGAUACCUGAGGGUUAAAGGCGCGAGUCGCCUGUGGAGGAGCCUGCGUUCGAUUAGCUAGUUGGUGGGGUAAAGGCCUACCAAGGCGAUGAUCGA